Fundulus heteroclitus (mummichog) is the source of this 951-nucleotide long non-coding RNA. RefSeq lists it as uncharacterized. The transcript has 6 exons. The record is from RefSeq and is a predicted model, not a curated record. NCBI's taxonomy places the organism in Eukaryota, Metazoa, Chordata, Actinopteri, Cyprinodontiformes, Fundulidae.
GGCCUAUUUAGGUUCAAGCUAUAUUGAUUCACUGGUUGUGGCCUAUUGCCAGUUCUGUUUCUUUGGAUAUAUGUUCAUAAAAGCCUCGUUCUCAGGCUAGGUGUUUAUAAAAGCCUCGUUCUCAGGCUAGGUGUUCAUAAAAGCCUCGUUCUCAGGCUACUUGCUACUAUAUUUCAGUGUGUCACCUUAAUCUGAAUUUAUAAUUCAAAUGUAUGCAGACGCAUUGCAGCCUUUAUCGAUCCAGGGCCUUGGUCUGAAAAGACAGGGGGAGACCUUGAACAUUUUCCUCUUCAGUCCAACGGACAUGACUGUGGGAUCUUCAUGUUAAUGUAUGCCCUCUGCAUCAGCACAUCAACCCCAUUUACCUUUUCCCAGUGGGAGAUGCCAACCAUUCGCCGUUGGUGGUGCCUCCAAAUAAUGGAGAGGUUUUCCAUUGAAGGGCAUGGACAUCGAUUUGCUCACUGGACAGAAGAAUCCUCCCAUCUUCUUGAAGGAAUCCUGGAACCGGUCUUCAGGGUUCCAAAAUCCACCAUUACAGAGACUCCCCCCAGAAAUGGUGAUGGUGGAGAGGGCAAUGCGAAGGGACAGACGCAGAUCCUGAGGGACUUGCAUAAAGCAUGGGAAUGGAUACAACAGCACAAAGCCUUAUUCCGUGGGGAAAUAGAAGAACCUGAAGUCUUACAGAUGAGCAAGCCCAGGCAGAAAAUGGCCCUUGAAGGAUACAGUUCUGCAAAGGAUCCCUUCUUAAUUUCCUUCCAGUAUCAGGAAGACAUGGAAAUGUUUUAUAUCAACUGUAUUGAUGUAAAGGGGCUGAAGGUCAAUACCAUGUUUUGCGAGCAUAGUUCUUAGAAUGUUUGUACAGUCAGUUCUUAAUAAGUUCAGUGGCGUAGGAAUAGGGGGGGCAAGUGCCCCCUCACUUUUGGGACAGAGGGGCCAAAAGGUAUGUUUUGC